RNAcentral lists this ribosomal RNA (117 nucleotides) under Ramularia coleosporii. RNAcentral describes it as "partial 18S ribosomal RNA". It matches the Rfam family "Eukaryotic small subunit ribosomal RNA", at positions 1717 to 1831 of the family's 1831-position model. The record is from RNAcentral. Lineage: Eukaryota; Fungi; Ascomycota; Dothideomycetes; Mycosphaerellales; Mycosphaerellaceae.
GGCUCAGGGAGGUCGGCAACGACCACCCAGAGCCGGAAAGUUGGUCAAACUCGGUCAUUUAGAGGAAGUAAAAGUCGUAACAAGGUCUCCGUAGGUGAACCUGCGGAGGGAUCAUUA